AAAGUCGUAACAAGGUUUCCGUAGGUGAACAUCUCUUCCAGGUUCGCCAGAAUAGAAAGUCUGUAUUUAGCAGGCAACACCUCCACUGUGCUGGGAUUUACAUUUGUAAUACCAGCAGCCUAGCAAUAGGCUCACAGGUCAAAUGGAGGUGGCCCAGUAGGGUUAAGAUAUGAUCGGGAGGCUGCUAGAAAUUGCUGCUAUACUUCCGCUGCGGAAGGAUCAUUACAGAGAAAUUGCCCUCCGGGGUAGAUCUCCCACCCUUUGUUUAUAUUACCUUUGUUGCUUUGGCAGGCCCGUCUAAUGACCACUGGCCUAGGCUGGUUCGUGCCUGCCAGAGGACCCUAAACUCUUGAUUUUUAUAUUGUCCGAGUCACAAACAAAUAAGUUAAAACUUUCAACAACGGAUCUCUUGGUUCUG
This 418-nucleotide unclassified non-coding RNA is filed under the name Ascomycota sp. RNAcentral describes it as "partial contains small subunit ribosomal RNA, internal transcribed spacer 1, and 5.8S ribosomal RNA". Lineage: Eukaryota; Fungi; Ascomycota. The record is from RNAcentral.